This 53-nucleotide non-coding RNA is filed under the name unclassified sequences. The record is from Rfam.
CCCUGACAGGUGCAUGAAGCAUCUGACUUAACCCAAGACAGGAGAUAAUCAUG